AUGAACGCUGGCGGCGUGCCUAAUACAUGCAAGCCGAGCGAACGGACGAGAAGCUUGCUUUUCUGAUGUUAGCGGCGGACGGGUGAGUAACACGUGGAUAACCUACCUAUAAGACUGGGAUAACUUCGGGAAACCGGAGCUAAUACCGGAUAAUAUUUUGAACCGCAUGGUUCAAAAGUGAAAGACGGUCUUGCUGUCACUUAUAGAUGGAUCCGCGCUGCAUUAGCUAGUUGGUAAGGUAACGGCUUACCAAGGCAACGAUGCAUAGCCGACCUGAGAGGGUGAUCGGCCACACUGGAACUGAGACACGGUCCAGACUCCUACGGGAGGCAGCAGUAGGGAAUCUUCCGCAAUGGGCGAAAGCCUGACGGAGCAACGCCGCGUGAGUGAUGAAGGUCUUCGGAUCGUAAAACUCUGUUAUUAGGGAAGAACAUAUGUGUAAGUAACUGUGCACAUCUUGACGGUACCUAAUCAGAAAGCCACGGCUAACUACGUG
This 496-nucleotide ribosomal RNA is filed under the name uncultured bacterium. Its description in RNAcentral is "partial 16S ribosomal RNA". It matches the Rfam family "Bacterial small subunit ribosomal RNA", at positions 29 to 507 of the family's 1533-position model. The record is from RNAcentral.